CGGAGUAACGCGUAUGCAACUUGUCCUCUCAGGAGGGGAGAACCCGGCGAAAGUACGGACUAAUACCGCAUGAAGCAGGGGCCCCCGGCCAUGGGGAUAUUUGCUAAAGAUUCAUCGCUGAUAGAUAGGCAUGCGUUCCAUUAGCUAGUUGGUGGGGUAACGGCCUACCAAGGCGACGAUCAGUAGCCGACCUGAGAGGGUGACCGGCCACAUUGGGACUGAGACACGGCCCAA
RNAcentral lists this ribosomal RNA (234 nucleotides) under uncultured bacterium. RNAcentral describes it as "partial 16S ribosomal RNA". It matches the Rfam family "Bacterial small subunit ribosomal RNA", at positions 106 to 334 of the family's 1533-position model. The record is from RNAcentral.